UACGGAAGGCAGCAGGGGGAAUAUUGCACAAUGGGCGAAAGCCUGAUGCAGCUAUGCCGCGUGUAUGAAGAAGGCCUUAGGGUUGUAAAGUACUUUCAUCGGGGAGGAAAAACAAAACUAAUAAUUUUAUUUCUUGACGUUACCCGAAAAAGAAGCACCGGCUAACUCCGUGCCAGCAGCCGCGGUAAUACGGAGGGUGCUAGCGUUAAUCAGAAUUACUGGGCGUAAAGAGCACGUAGGUGGUUUUUUUAAGUCAGAUGUGAAAUCCCUGGGCUUAACCUAGGAACUGCAUUUUGAAACUGAAAUACUAGAGUAUCGUAGAGGGAGGUAGAAUUCUAGGUGUAGCGGUGAAAUGCGUAGAUAUCUGGAGGAAUACCUGUGGCGAAAGCGGCCUCCUAAACGAAUACUGACACUGAGGGUGCGAAAGCGUGGGGAGCAAACAGGGAUUAGGAUACC
RNAcentral lists this ribosomal RNA (456 nucleotides) under uncultured bacterium. RNAcentral describes it as "bacterial SSU rRNA". It matches the Rfam family "Bacterial small subunit ribosomal RNA", at positions 340 to 786 of the family's 1533-position model. The record is from RNAcentral.